CUGGCCAUGGCCUAAUGGUAAGGCACUUGACUACGGAUCAAGGGAUUGGAGGUUCGAGUCCUUCUGGCCAGG
RNAcentral lists this transfer RNA (72 nucleotides) under Lodderomyces parapsilosis. RNAcentral's name for it is "Candida parapsilosis tRNA-Arg". It matches the Rfam family "tRNA". Rfam says of the family: Transfer RNA (tRNA) molecules are approximately 80 nucleotides in length. RNAcentral also lists the same sequence under 2 other names. Lineage: Eukaryota; Fungi; Ascomycota; Pichiomycetes; Serinales; Debaryomycetaceae. The record is from RNAcentral.